Molecule: long non-coding RNA, 404 nt
Organism: Mustela erminea (ermine)
Lineage: Eukaryota; Metazoa; Chordata; Mammalia; Carnivora; Mustelidae
Exons: 3
Source: RefSeq, a predicted model, not a curated record
CAACGGAUACACAAGUCAAGGAAGACAGGCCUUGAAGUUAUAUUUUCCAAGAGGGUUUCCAUGAUUGUGAGAAUGGCCUCCAGAGUUGACUGGCUUCCACAGAGCAGACCUUGCCAACGUGCGUGAUGCCAGCCCACUGUGAAAAUAUCCAUGCAGCAAGAGACCACAGCUGAGACAGUACAGGAAUACGGACAAUGACAUGUGGCUGGGCCCACGCUAACCUGCUGAAGAAUGAGAGAACACACAUGGAAAAGAACCCCAGCAAAAAGCAAAGAACCUUUUCUUAGUCAAAAGCCAUACAGCCAUCCCUGCCCACCACUUGGUCAGAACUGAACCAGGAUGCCCACAGCAAGAAUUCACAGAUGCCCACUUCUGAGCAGAUGACAAAAUAGUCAGAUCACAAG